UAGAUAUAUCCCUACAAAAUUUAACUUUUCAUAUUUAUCUCUAUAAAAAUCCUAAUGUUUUUAAAUAUACUCCUACUACUAGGAUCCGUUAGAAAAAUAUAGUUACUCAUAGAUAAAAUACUUCACUCUGAUUAGUGAACGAGGCAAAUUGAUUUUUUUUACCCCUUUUAUAUUAUUUGUGAUGGUGGAAAGGAAGAAGACCAUUGAAAUUUUUUGGGAGGUCAUUUUUUCAUAAUUCUAAUAAUUGGGACUUUUGGAGGGACAUAUUUGUAAUAGUAAAAAUGUCAUUUCACUUAUCUUCUACUAAAAAAUAAACAGUGCCCUCACGGUAAUAAACCAGAGAGACAAAUAUGAAUAUCACUAGACUUUUGUAGGGAUAAAUAUGAAAAGUUAAACUUUGUAGGAAUAUAUUUGUUAUUUGUUAUGUUUACGGGAAGCUGUAUGAAAUUAACCCUAACUAUUAUGCUUAAAAACCUACAUGCUCUGUGGUUAUGUUUCUGCUCCUAUCUUUUUUUACUAUUUUGCCACCAGAGUGUAAUAAUUAGAAAAGCUAACUAUUAAUUGACAUUCCUUACAUUAUGAUUCNGGUACUAACUUGAUACAUUUUAAACCACAGGGUACUAAAGUGAAAAAAAUUGAAACCACAAGGGGGGUUUUUGAAGUUUUCCCUUCUAUUUUUAACUCUAGUAGUUUUACACUGGAACUUACAACUGCUUAGGUGUUAUAACAUUAUUAUUAGAUUUAAUUGUAUACAGCUCCCUGUAAAUAUAUUAAAUAAUAGAUAUAUCCCUACAAAAUUUAACUUUUCAUAUUUAUCUCUAUAAAAAUCCUAAUAUUUUUAAAUAUAUCCCUACUAUUAAGAUCCGAUAGAAAAAUAUAGUUACUCAUAGAUAAAAUACUUCACUCUGAUUAGCGAACAAGGCAAAUUGAUCUUUUUACCCCUUUUAUAUUAUUUGUGAUGGUGGAAAGGAAGAAGACCACUGAAAUUUUUUGGGAGGUCAUUUUUGCAUAAUUCUAAUAAUUGGGGCUUUUGGAGGGACAUAUUUGUAAUAGUAAAAAUGUCAUUUUACUUAUCUUCUACUAAAAAAUAAACAGUGCCCUCACGGUAAUAAACCAGAGAGACAAAUAUGAAUAUUACUAGACUUUUGUAGGGAUAAAUAUGAAAAUUAAACUUUGUAGGAAUAUAUUUGUUAUUUGAUAUGUUUACGGGAAGCUGUAUGAAAUUAACCCUUACUAUUAUGCUUAAAAACCUACAUACUCUGUGGUUAUAUUUCUGCUCCUAUCUUUUCUUUUUUUACUUUUUUGCCACCAGA
RNAcentral lists this long non-coding RNA (1313 nucleotides) under Ananas comosus (pineapple). RNAcentral's name for it is "long non-coding RNA (ACOM_LNC019862)". Lineage: Eukaryota; Viridiplantae; Streptophyta; Magnoliopsida; Poales; Bromeliaceae. The record is from RNAcentral.